RNAcentral lists this ribosomal RNA (874 nucleotides) under Pseudophialophora dichanthii. RNAcentral describes it as "LSU rRNA". It matches the Rfam family "Eukaryotic large subunit ribosomal RNA", at positions 73 to 977 of the family's 3401-position model. The record is from RNAcentral. Lineage: Eukaryota; Fungi; Ascomycota; Sordariomycetes; Magnaporthales; Magnaporthaceae.
GAUUGCCCUAGUAACGGCGAGUGAAGCGGCAACAGCUCAAAUUUGAAAUCUGGCCCCCAGGCCCGAGUUGUAAUUUGUAGAGGAUGCUUUUGGUGACGCGCUUACCGAGUCCCCUGGAAUGGGGCGCCACAGAGGGUGAGAGCCCCGUAUGGUUUGCCGCCGAGCCUCUGUAAAGCUCCUUCGACGAGUCGAGUAGUUUGGGAAUGCUGCUCUAAAUGGGAGGUAAAUUUCUUCUAAAGCUAAAUACCGGCCAGAGACCGAUAGCGCACAAGUAGAGUGAUCGAAAGAUGAAAAGCACUUUGAAAAGAGGGUUAAAUAGCACGUGAAAUUGUUGAAAGGGAAGCGCUUGUGACCAGACUCGCGCCGGGCGGAUCAUCCAGCGUUCUCGCUGGUGCACUCCGCCCGGCUCGGGCCAGCAUCGGUUUUCGCCGGGGGACAAAAGCCUCGGGAACGUGGCCCCCUUCGGGGGGUGUUAUAGCCCGUGGCAGAAUACCCCGGCGGGGACCGAGGACCGCGCUUCGGCAAGGAUGCUGGCGUAAUGGUCAUCAGCGACCCGUCUUGAAACACGGACCGAGGAGUCAAGCAUUAGUGCGAGUGUUUGGGUGUAAAACCCGCACGCGUAAUGAAAGUGAACGUAGUGAGAGCUUCGGCGCAUCAUCGACCGAUCCUGAAGUUUACGGAUGGAUUUGAGUAGGAGCAUUAACGCUUGUACCCGAAAGAUGGUGAACUAUACUUGAAUAGGGUGAAGCCAGAGGAAACUCUGGUGGAGGCUCGCAGCGGUUCUGACGUGCAAAUCGAUCGUCAAAUUUGAGUAUAGGGGCGAUAGACUAUUCGAACCAUCUAGUAGCUGGUUACCGCCGAGUUUCCCUUCCAG